GGAAAAGAACUACAUUUCCCAUCUGCCCUGGCUGUCACAGGCUAAUAGCACCAGCUGCUUUCCAUUACCCUAAGGAGUGAUUCUACUGCUGCAACGAGAACAAAUACAACGAAAGUAUUGAUGCUGCAAAAGAAGACGGAUCUUUUGGUAGGCUGGUUAAUGAUGACCACAAGCACCCAAAUGGCAGAAUGCAGAAGACUGAAGUGGAUGGAAGCCCACAUCUUGGUCUGUUUGCUUUAACAGACUUUAAAGAAGGUGAUGAAUUACCUGCAAUUACGGAGGAGGAGACUGGCCUUGGCGUAGCAAGGUAAAACAUCUACUCUGAAUAAGAGGAAGGCUCGGGAAGGAAAUGAGGUCCAUGCAGUGGAGAGACAUAUGAAGACCUUCAUCAUGUCAUGUCGUGUCCCAGGGAAGUUGGUCUGUGAAAACUGCAUUAGAUCUGAGUCUUUAUAUCUUAAAGAUAGAGACUGGCAAAGUGUCAAAUUCUACGUCUAUAACUGCACUAUAGCUUACAAAAGAGAUAUAAACAAAGAUUAAAUAACACUUUGAUAGUAACACUUUACAUCUAUAUUACAGAUACUGUACAUCAUAACAUCUGUAGUAAUGCUUUAAUAAUAAGUUACGUUACACCUCUAGCCUUUUACUUUGUAAUGAACCGCUCAGCAUUUACUUCAUCAUAAACUAAUCAGGAACAAAUCAGGCAUUUAAAAUAUCCAUUAGAAUCUUUACCUACACCGUUAUAUUGAAUUAGAUCAAAUUGGUUUGGGCCGCCUUCUUCCAGUGGGUCCUUAUGCAGGUGACUGACAAGUUCAUGAGUAAGCCUAUUGGGCAAUAAAAGCUUCAGUGUGCUACCCAUUUACAUGUUUAGACUGCCUGGAAUCAAAAUUAGCUACCUCAACAUAUAUUAUUAAGUUGUUACUGUCACUUUUUAGCUUAGUCAGUUAAGUGGAUAUAGAAUAAAGUAAAAAAAUUGUGUUUAUGACAUUUGGUUGUGUGUCUGUGUUUGGCUAGUAUCUUUAUUUUUCUCAAUAUGUUUAACUUUGAGCUGGCUAUAUGUAGUAAGCAGAAGUGUUAUGUCAAACUUAAAUGAGUCCAAGUUCAUUCAUGGCACAUGUGAGCUUAGUGGUUCUGCACUUUAAUGGGCAAAUAUUUGUUGACUUUUACAGUAAAGAAGCUCAAGACUCAAGUUGUCUUUAUAAUGUUGAAUAGACAGGGUUUUUUCACCUGACUGACAAUUUUUCACUUGAUUAGAGAUCCAGACCAAUAAACAAAUCCUUCAUGCAGCUAAAAUAUCAAAAGGAUGAGUUUCUUUGUCAUUUUGACUUGCCAAAAUGACUGGGGAUAGUGUUAAUUUGUGAUGCAUGCCUGUGAUAAAUAAGUGAGGUUCAGUACAGCUAGCACCUCUACUUUUUGUUCCACAAAAAAAAGUAUACUUUAAAAUGAAACGCUUCUUAGAAUUAUAGCCUCAAAACUAAUAAUAGCACUGGUACCACCUUCCUUAACAAGUUCCUAGGUUUCUCAAAGGGUUCCUCUGUUGGAAAUAGAAAGCUCCAAAAAAAUGUAGUCUGUUAUCUAUUACGUGCAGAUAUUGAAAUUUGUGUAAGAGAGCUUUUUGAUAACCAAACUUUCACUGAUUGCAUAUUUCACAAAUAAGGCUAAGAGUCCUUAGUAUAAACAAUUAAGAACAACUGUUCAAUAUAAUUUCAUGAGAAGCUCAAACCUUCAAAUAGAGAAAAUACACAUCAUAUCUGCUUUACAGACAGCCCUCUAAAUUAGACAUACUUAGUUUGUA
Long non-coding RNA from Ictalurus punctatus (channel catfish), 1792 nucleotides. RefSeq lists it as uncharacterized. The record is from RefSeq and is a predicted model, not a curated record. Lineage: Eukaryota; Metazoa; Chordata; Actinopteri; Siluriformes; Ictaluridae. The transcript has 3 exons.